CCUACGGGAGGCAGCAGUGGGGAAUAUUGGACAAUGGGCGAAAGCCUGAUGCAGCGAAGCCGCGUGAGUGAGGAAGUAUUUAGGUAUGGUAAGCUCUAUCAGCAGGGGAGAAAAUGACGGGACCUGUCUAAUAAGCCCCGGCUAACUACGUGCCAGCAGCCGCGGUAAUACGUAGGGAGCAGGCGUUAUCCGGAUUUACUGGGUGUUAAGGGAGCGUAGACGGAAUUGCAGGUCUGAGGUGAAAAUCCGGGGCCCAACCAUGGAACUGCCGUGGAAACUGUAUUGCUAGAGUGUCGGUGAGGCAAGUGGAAUUCCUGGUGUAGCGGUGAAAUGCGUAGAUAUCAGGAGGAACCCCAGUGGCGAAGGCGGCUUGCUGGGCGAUGACUGACGUUGAGGCUCGAAAGCGUGGGGAGCAAACAGGAUUAGAUACCCGGGUAGUC
This 440-nucleotide ribosomal RNA is filed under the name uncultured bacterium. RNAcentral describes it as "partial 16S ribosomal RNA". It matches the Rfam family "Bacterial small subunit ribosomal RNA", at positions 338 to 795 of the family's 1533-position model. The record is from RNAcentral.